AGGAUAAACGCUGGCGGCGUGCUUCAGGCAUGCAAGUCGAACGGACCUUCGGGUCAGUGGCGGACGGGUGAGUAACACGUAAGUAACCUGCCCAGAAGUGGGGAAUAACUGGCCGAAAGGCUGGCUAAUACCGCAUGUGAUGGCUUGUCCUUGGACGGGUCAUUAAAGGAUUUAUUCGCUUCUGGAGGGGCUUGCGGUCGAUUAGCUAGUUGGUGGGGUAACGGCCUACCAAGGCGACGAUCGAUAGCUGGUCUGAGAGGACGGUCAGCCACACGGGGACUGAGAUACGGCCCCGACUCCUACGGGAGGCAGCAGCUAGGAAUCUUGGGAAUGGGCGAAAGCCUGACCCAGCAACGCCGCGUGGGCGAUGAAGGCCUUCGGGUCGUAAAGCCCUUUUGUAGGGACGAUAAUGACGGUACCUGCGAAUAAGCCACGGCUAACUACGUGCCAGCAGCCGC
Molecule: ribosomal RNA, 458 nt
Filed under: uncultured soil bacterium
Lineage: Bacteria
Description: bacterial SSU rRNA
Rfam family: Bacterial small subunit ribosomal RNA
Source: RNAcentral